This 464-nucleotide ribosomal RNA is filed under the name uncultured bacterium. Its description in RNAcentral is "partial 16S ribosomal RNA". It matches the Rfam family "Bacterial small subunit ribosomal RNA", at positions 28 to 507 of the family's 1533-position model. The record is from RNAcentral.
GACGAACGCUGGCGGCGUGCUUAACACAUGCAAGUCGAACGCUGAACCCGCUUCGGUGGGGGAUGAGUGGCGAACGGGUGAGUAACACGUGGGCAACCUGCCCCCGGCUCUGGGAUAACUCCAAGAAAUUGGGGCUAAUACCGGAUGUGACCGCUGGCCGCAUGGUCUGGUGGUGGAAGGGUUUCCGGCUGGGGAUGGGCCCGCGGCCUAUCAGCUUGUUGGUGGGGUAGUGGCCUACCAAGGCGACGACGGGUAGCCGGCCUGAGAGGGUGACCGGCCACACUGGGACUGAGACACGGCCCAGACUCCUACGGGAGGCAGCAGUGGGGAAUAUUGCGCAAGGGGCGGAGGCCUGACGCAGCGACGCCGCGUGGGGGAUGACGGCCUUCGGGUUGUAAACCUCUUUCAGCAGGGACGAAGCGCAAGUGACGGUACCUGCAGAAGAAGCACCGGCCAACUACGUG